This 555-nucleotide ribosomal RNA is filed under the name uncultured bacterium. RNAcentral describes it as "bacterial SSU rRNA". It matches the Rfam family "Bacterial small subunit ribosomal RNA", at positions 472 to 1024 of the family's 1533-position model. The record is from RNAcentral.
ACGGUACCUGCAGAAGAAGCUCCGGCUAACUACGUGCCAGCAGCCGCGGUAAUACGUAGGGGGCGAGCGUUGUCCGGAUUCAUUGGGCGUAAAGAGCUCGUAGGCGGUUCAGUAAGUCAGGUGUGAAAGCUCCGAGCUCAACUCGGAGACGCCAUCUGAUACUGCUGUGACUAGAAUCCAGUAGGGGAGUGUGGAACUCCUGGUGUAGCGGUGGAAUGCGCAGAUAUCAGGAAGAACACCAGCGGCGAAGGCGGCACUCUGGGCUGGUAUUGACGCUGAGGAGCGAAAGUGUGGGUAGCAAACAGGAUUAGAUACCCUGGUAGUCCACACCGUAAACGUUGGGCACUAGGUGUGGGGAGGAAUCAACCCUCUCCGUGCCGUAGCUAACGCAUUAAGUGCCCCGCCUGGGGAGUACGGCCGCAAGGCUAAAACUCAAAGGAAUUGACGGGGGCCCGCACAAGCGGCGGAGCAUGUUGCUUAAUUCGAGGCAACGCGAAGAACCUUACCUAGGUUGAACUACGCAGGAAAAGCCACAGAGAUGUGGUGUCCUUCGGG